RNAcentral lists this long non-coding RNA (1628 nucleotides) under Zea mays. Its description in RNAcentral is "long non-coding RNA (ZMAY_LNC003707)". The record is from RNAcentral. Lineage: Eukaryota; Viridiplantae; Streptophyta; Magnoliopsida; Poales; Poaceae.
UUCCAUGUUGCGUGCACUGAGCGGAGAGGAUAAAAAGGGGUUGGACGGAGGAGCCUCUGCCCUCGCUAUUUGAUGCGGCGCAGGCAGGACGGAGGGGAGGGAGAAGAAGGGGGCCCCUGCGCUAGCGGUACUCGUUCCGGCGCCGGGACACUAGUCUGGUGGCGAGCGACUCUUCCCUGGGGCGCUGGACUCCGGUGAGUUUUACACUCUUUCCUCAGCGCAUAUUCCAGGGACCAUAGCGGUCAUCUUUGCCACUCGGCACUGUCGGGGCCUAGGGGUCUCCAGGAUCCUGUGGGGUUCGGCGGCGGCACUAGGCACCUGCCAUGGGCGCGGUCGGCUGUGCCCGGAUGUCGCAGGAAGGAAGACACCGAUAGGUCCGUAGAUCAGGAAGCUGGCGGCCGGGAUUGUCUGACGUACUCGUAUAACGGGGAAAUCAAUCCUGACCGUAGAUCAGACCAGACUACCUAGGCGUGGGAAAUGACCUCGGGAUGGCUGGGCACGUCGCCGUAGCAUGUGAGCGCUAGGUUGAAGACGCAAGUUGUGCCCUUGAUCCUGAGAUGGACGGCUAGGAUUAGUUGAUAUCAUACCCCUUCGCCGCAUUAAACCGGAGCCGCAGAUUCUCAGAUGAGCAGUCCCGAUUUGAACGCGAAUACCUCUUUGCGUGAUCCGAUGUGGGGCCUUGUUUUCUGAUCGGACGACUCUAACCACCCGAUACCCCUUCGGCGCACUAGUUUUGCAAAAGAGACCCUAUAGAAUUUCUUAUUAAACCCGCCAUCCGUCAGGGAGGUAACCUGAGUCUGCCAGAUUUUUGCUAGUUUAACCCUGAGUUUGUCUGUAAUAAUGUGCGCGACCCAGGAACAGAGAAAUCUGUUAUUUAAAUAUAGAAAUUGAAUUUUAGUACACAAAUAAAUCCAGAAACUUGUAUAAUUCAUAUUUAAUUCAUUUUAGCUUCGAAUUAAUUUAUUCUAGUUGCAUUAGACUCAUAUUAAUAUUGUUUAUCAUCCAGUAACUUUACUUCGUUAUGAAACUUAGAUUAAAAAUUAUGCACUUAGUUUCUUUUAAUCCAAUACUUAAAACUUUGGAAAUCCAUAACUUCUCUGUUUUAACUCCGAUUUGAUUCGUUCUAGUUGUGUUAGUCUUGUAUGAAUAUUUACUACGCAGUAACAACAUUAAUUAUACAUGUCUCAUACUUUUAUAUUAGAUAUCUAUUUACCCUUUGUUAAUUGUAUUUACCUCUGUCUAUUGGAUUAACCUAUGAUCUUAUGAUCAUAAUUUGAUUAGAUGAUCUUUAAUCAAAUAAUAAAGUUGAGAUAAUUAUUUAUAGAAUAACCUCUCAUAUGAAUUAUAUUAAUUAAAUUAUAAUAUAGUUUAAUAUUUUAAUCACACAGACCUUUUAUGAAAUCAUAACUCCUUAAUCGUAACUUCGAUCUUAGUAGUUCUCGAUCCCGCGAUCUCGUAGCGAUGCGUAGACUAUUAUUAUGCAGUUUGUUCUUAUGUUUGGUGUGAUGUUAAUUUUGUCUAUACCAUGUUUGUUUGUGUUGCUACGACUAGCGCGAGGUUUCAAGGAUUUAAAGAAUCACCCUGGUAACCGGAAUCUCAAGUGUCAGGCAAGUUGUGCCCUUGAUCAC